UGCAUGGUCGUCGUCAGCUCGUGCCGUGAGGUGUUGGGUUAAGUCCCGCAACGAGCGCAACCCCCGCCGUUAGUUGCCAGCGGUUCGGCCGGGCACUCUAACGGGACUGCCCGCGAAAGCGGGAGGAAGGAGGGGACGACGUCUGGUCAGCAUGGCCCUUACGGCCUGGGCGACACACGUGCUACAAUGCCCACUACAAAGCGAUGCCACCCGGCAACGGGGAGCUAAUCGCAAAAAGGUGGGCCCAGUUCGGAUUGGGGUCUGCAACCCGACCCCAUGAAGCCGGAAUCGCUAGUAAUCGCGGAUCAGCCAUGCCGCGGUGAAUACGUUCCCGGGCCUU
RNAcentral lists this ribosomal RNA (340 nucleotides) under uncultured Thermus sp. RNAcentral's name for it is "bacterial SSU rRNA". It matches the Rfam family "Bacterial small subunit ribosomal RNA", at positions 1042 to 1382 of the family's 1533-position model. Lineage: Bacteria; Thermotogati; Deinococcota; Deinococci; Thermales; Thermaceae. The record is from RNAcentral.